GACGAACGCUGGCGGCGUGCUUAACACAUGCAAGUCGAACGGAAAGGCCCUGCUUUUGUGGGGUGCUCGAGUGGCGAACGGGUGGGUAACACGUGAGUAACCUGCCCUUGACUUUGGGAUAACUUCAGGAAACUGGGGCUAAUACCGGAUAGGAGCUCCUGCUGCAUGGUGGGGGUUGGAAAGUUUCGGCGGUUGGGGGUGGACUCGCGGCUUAUCAGCUUGUUGGUGGGGUAGUGGCUUACCAAGGCUUUGACGGGUAGCCGGCCUGAGAGGGUGACCGGCCACAUUGGGACUGAGAUACGGCCCAGACUCCUACGGGAGGCAGCAGUGGGGAAUAUUGCACAAUGGGCGGAAGCCUGAUGCAGCAACGCCGCGUGCGGGAUGACGGCCUUCGGGUUGUAAACCGCUUUCGCCUGUGACGAAGCGUGAGUGACGGUAAUGGGUAAAGAAGCACCGGCUAACUACGUG
This 468-nucleotide ribosomal RNA is filed under the name uncultured bacterium. Its description in RNAcentral is "partial 16S ribosomal RNA". It matches the Rfam family "Bacterial small subunit ribosomal RNA", at positions 28 to 507 of the family's 1533-position model. The record is from RNAcentral.